GGGUGUAGCUCAGCGGUAGAGCACUAGCACUUGCACUUGCCUAGCAAACGGGAGGUCCUGGGUUCCAUCCUCAGCACCACA
This 81-nucleotide transfer RNA is filed under the name Marmota monax (woodchuck). RNAcentral's name for it is "tRNA.Ala". The record is from RNAcentral. Lineage: Eukaryota; Metazoa; Chordata; Mammalia; Rodentia; Sciuridae.